UUACAUCCUGGGACCAGUUCUUGUAGUAGCUUCAUCCUAGCAUUAAUCUUCUCUCUCCUUGCCUACAGACAUAUAUAUAUAAUCAAGAUAAUUAAAAGCUUAAUUAUAUGUAAUUACUAAUUACCAUGUUUAGCAAAACAUUAGAAGCUCUUAAUCUUACUCUUUCUGCUAAACUAUGGCUAUCAGUGGCUUGGCCUCGACGCGCUCGGACGUGAACAUAUGGUAGCUUCUCGCCGCCGUCUUCUGAGUGGAUUGGAAGUCGCCGGAGAUGAGUUGUGGUUACAUUCGGAAUCUAGGGGUUCUUGCUUGACGAACAGUGAUUUCGACCCGGAAUUCGAAAGGGUUGAAUUGGACUCCGGGGAGUUACCGGCGGCGGCGAAGACGGAGAACUUAGAAG
Molecule: long non-coding RNA, 397 nt
Filed under: Solanum lycopersicum (tomato)
Lineage: Eukaryota; Viridiplantae; Streptophyta; Magnoliopsida; Solanales; Solanaceae
Description: partial TCONS_00163555
Source: RNAcentral